GAUGAACGCUGGCGGCGUGCCUAAUACAUGCAAGUCGAGCGAACAGACGAGGAGCUUGCUCCUCUGACGUUAGCGGCGGACGGGUGAGUAACACGUGGAUAACCUACCUAUAAGACUGGGAUAACUUCGGGAAACCGGAGCUAAUACCGGAUAAUAUAUUGAACCGCAUGGUUCAAUAGUGAAAGACGGUUUUGCUGUCACUUAUAGAUGGAUCCGCGCCGCAUUAGCUAGUUGGUAAGGUAACGGCUUACCAAGGCAACGAUGCGUAGCCGACCUGAGAGGGUGAUAGGACACACUGGAACUGAGAGACGGUCCAGACUCCUACGGGAGGCAGCAGUAGGGAAUCUUCCGCAAUGGGCGAAAGCUUGACGGAGCAACGCCGCGUGAGUGAUGAAGGUCUUCGGAUCGUAAAACUCUGUUAUUAGGGAAGAACAAAUGUGUAAGUAACUAUGCACGUCUUGACGGUACCUAAUCAGAAAGCCACGGCUAACUACGUG
Molecule: ribosomal RNA, 497 nt
Filed under: uncultured bacterium
Lineage: Bacteria
Description: partial 16S ribosomal RNA
Rfam family: Bacterial small subunit ribosomal RNA
Source: RNAcentral